This is a non-coding RNA of Chelonoidis abingdonii (Abingdon island giant tortoise), 483 nucleotides long. NCBI's taxonomy places the organism in Eukaryota, Metazoa, Chordata, Testudines, Testudinidae. The record is from RefSeq and is a predicted model, not a curated record.
UUGUGUCUUAUUUUCAUGUAACCCUUUCUGAGGAAAGCAAUAAUUUACACUUUCUUUUUUGAAAGGAAGUUAGCUACAUACAAACCCAAAGGAACCAAGCAGCUUAUCCAAACAGAGUCUGCUUUCAUUACAACAACUCCUGUGCCCCUUCUUUUAAUGUCAUCAGCUGAGAGUGGCGAGGUGCAGGUGAGUGCAGAUCUCAUCAGCAGAGGUGACGAUGAUGAAGUCCCAGGACCUCAAAAGAGCUCCAGCAUGGACAGAACAGGAGGCCAUAAUAGGGACGCACAGCAAUGCCAUGUGAAAAUUAAGGACCUAAGGCAAGCCUACUAAAAAAAACAGAGAGGCAAAUGGCCGUUCCGGAUCAGAGCCCCGAACAUGUCGCUUCUGUGAUGAGCUGCAUGCCGUGCUAGGGGGCACAGCCACAACUACCCCAACCCUGUGCUUUGACUCCAUCAAUGGAGAAUCACGCAACACAGAAGUGGG